CAAAGGCUUGGUCCUGACUUUACUAUCAACUUUAAUUAAAUUUACACAUGCAAGUAUCCGCAUCCCCGUGAAAAUGCCCAUAGUUUUCUUUUUGAAAACAAGGAGAUGGUAUCAGGCACAAUACAUUUUAGCCCACAACACCAUGCCCGGCCACACCCCCAAGGGAAUUCAGCAGUGAUAAAUAUUAAGCAAUGAGCGAAAGCUUGACUUAGUUAUAAUAUAUUAGAGCCGGCAAAACUCGUGCCAGCCGCCGCGGUUAUACGAGAGACUCAAGUUGAUAGCUAUCGGCGUAAAACGUGAUUAAAGAAUUAAUUAACUAAAGUGGAAUAUUUUCAAAACUGUUAUACGUAUGUGAGAAUAAGAAAAACCCCUACGAAAGUGACUUUAAGCUACUUGAUACACGAAAGCUGUGACACAAACUGGGAUUAGAUACCCCACUAUGCUCAGCCUUAAACUUUAAUAGAAUAUUACAUUUUCUAUUUGCCAGGGAACUACUAGCAUAAGCUUAAAACCCAAAGGACUUGGCGGUGCUUUAGACCCACCUAGAGGAGCCUGUUCUAUAACCGAUAACCCCCGUUAAACCUCACCUUCUCUUGUUAUUUCCGCCUAUAUACCGCCGUCGUCAGCUUACCCUGUGAAGGCAUACUAGUAAGCAAAAUUGAUUUUAUCCAAAACGUCAGGUCGAGGUGUAGCAUAUGAGAAGGAAAGAAAUGGGCUACAUUUUUUAACUUAAAAAAUACGGAAAUUGUAAUGAAACAACAAUUUAAGGAGGAUUUAGCAGUAAGCGUAAGAAUAGAGAGCUACGCUGAAACUGGCCCUGAAGCGCGCACACACCGCCCGUCACUCUCCCUGAACCUUUAAUACCUUAUUCAUAAACCAAAUUUCGGACAAAAGGGAGGCAAGUCGUAACAUGGUAAGUGUACCGGAAGGUGUACUUGGCUUAAU
This 945-nucleotide non-coding RNA is filed under the name Diapteron cyanostictum (Gabon jewelfish). RNAcentral's name for it is "Aphyosemion cyanostictum (Gabon jewelfish) 12S ribosomal RNA". It matches the Rfam family "Bacterial small subunit ribosomal RNA". The record is from RNAcentral. Lineage: Eukaryota; Metazoa; Chordata; Actinopteri; Cyprinodontiformes; Nothobranchiidae.